Molecule: long non-coding RNA, 293 nt
Filed under: Coffea arabica (coffee)
Lineage: Eukaryota; Viridiplantae; Streptophyta; Magnoliopsida; Gentianales; Rubiaceae
Description: long non-coding RNA (CARA_LNC001342)
Source: RNAcentral
CUAGGAAAAAGCUUCUCUAGAAGUCCUAGUAGGAGUCCUGGCUAUUCAAGGAGUAGGAGUCCUGGCUAUAGCUACAGCAGCAGGAGCAGGAGGUCUGAUGAAUUCUAAAUUUAUCAGCCUUUCAAAUUUUUGUCUGAAUUACUCUACCCAUUGACAGACUUUGCUUUUACAUAGUGCUUCUCCAAGGGCCAGAUACUCUCGUCGCUCUCCAUUUAGAUCUCUCUCAAGGUCUGUUUCAUUAGGGGCUCUGUCUGACUCCCCUCGUUAUGUUUCAAGGUAGAUUAUUGCUGUGC